Molecule: ribosomal RNA, 253 nt
Filed under: uncultured bacterium
Lineage: Bacteria
Description: partial 16S ribosomal RNA
Rfam family: Bacterial small subunit ribosomal RNA
Source: RNAcentral
UACGUAGGGUGCAAGCGUUAAUCGGAAUUACUGGGCGUAAAGCGUGCGCAGGCGGUUGUGCCAGUCUGAUGUGAAAUCCCCGGGCUUAACCUGGGAACUGCAUUGGAGACUGCACGGCUAGAGUGCGUCAGAGGGGGGUGGAAUUCCGCGUGUAGCAGUGAAAUGCGUAGAGAUGCGGAGGAACACCGAUGGCGAAGGCAGCCCCCUGGGAUGACACUGACGCUCAUGCAUGAAAGCGUGGGGAGCAAACAGG